AGAGUUUGAUCCUGGCUCAGAGUGAACGCUGGCGGCGUGCCUAAUACAUGCAAGUCGAACGGAACACUAUUUUUGAGAACCUCGCUCCUUUGCGGGAUUGUCAUCAGUAGUGUUUAGUGGCGGACGGGUGAGUAACACGUUGGUACCUGCCCUUUAGUGGGGAAUAACUCGGCGAAAGUCGGGCUAAUACCGCAUGUGAUCCUUCGGGAUUAAAGCCUUCGGGCGCUAAAGGAGGGGCCUGCGUCUGAUUAGCUUGUUGGUAAGGUAAUGGCUUACCAAGGCGAUGAUCAGUAGCUGGUUCGAGAGGAUGAUCAGCCACACUGGAACUGAGAUACGGUCCAGACUCCUACGGGAGGCAGCAGUAAGGAAUCUUCCGCAAUGGACGAAAGUCUGACGGAGCAACUCCGCGUGCAGGAUGAAGGCCUUCGGGUCGUAAACUGCUUUUAUGAGUGAAGAAUAUGACGGUAACUCAUGAAUAAGGGUCGGCUAACUACGUGCCAGCAGCCGCGGUCAUACGUAGGACCCAAGCGUUAUCCGGAGUGACUGGGCGUAAAGAGUUGCGUAGGGUGGUUUGUUAAGCGAAUAGUGAAAUCUGGCGGCUCAACCGUACAGACUAUUAUUCGAACUGGCAAACUCGAGAGUGGUAGAGGUAACUGGAAUUUCUGAAGUAGGGGUAAUAUCCGUAGAUAUCAGAAAGAACACCAAUGGCGUAGCAGGUUACUGCACCAUUUCUGACGCUGAGCACGAAAGCGGUGGAGGAGCGAACAGAUUAGAUCCCCCGGGUAGUCACGCGUAAACGAUGAAUACUAGCUGUGUGUAGAAGUACCGACCUCUCAGUAGCGAAGCUACACGUAAGUAUCCGCUGUGGAGUACGGUCCAGACUAACUAGGAUUGACGCAUCGAAAGCGGUGAUAGUCUUAAUCGAUGUGAUCAACGAACGUAAC
This 944-nucleotide ribosomal RNA is filed under the name uncultured bacterium. Its description in RNAcentral is "bacterial SSU rRNA". It matches the Rfam family "Bacterial small subunit ribosomal RNA", at positions 9 to 873 of the family's 1533-position model. The record is from RNAcentral.